RNAcentral lists this ribosomal RNA (253 nucleotides) under uncultured bacterium. Its description in RNAcentral is "partial 16S ribosomal RNA". It matches the Rfam family "Bacterial small subunit ribosomal RNA", at positions 524 to 776 of the family's 1533-position model. The record is from RNAcentral.
UACGUAGGGGGCAAGCGUUGUCCGGAAUCAUUGGGCGUAAAGAGCGUGUAGGCGGCCCGAUAAGUCCGCUGUGAAAGUCCAGGGCUCAACCCUGGGGUGCCGGUGGAUACUGUCGGGCUCGAGUCCGGAAGAGGAGUGUGGAAUUCCCGGUGUAGAGGUGAAAUUCGUAGAUAUCGGGAGGAACACCGGUGGCGAAGGCGGCGAUCUGGGUAGAUACUGACGCUGAGGUGCGAAAGCGUGGGGAGCAAACAGG